This 866-nucleotide long non-coding RNA is filed under the name Nicotiana benthamiana. RNAcentral describes it as "long non-coding RNA (NBEN_LNC021329)". Lineage: Eukaryota; Viridiplantae; Streptophyta; Magnoliopsida; Solanales; Solanaceae. The record is from RNAcentral.
UCGGACAUUCCAGAGAGUUCUCUCGACUUCUCACUCUUUCUCUCACUGUAUCUCUCACUAUUUUGCCUUCAAUCUGUAUGUUUUCAUGGUAUCAGAGCGGGAUGAUCCUCAGAUGCUUCUCCGUUACUUGUUAUCGAUCGUGUUGGAAGUUUUAUUGAAGGUUUUUUUUUUGGAUAUUUGUGAGAGAUUCUGUUUACCGAGAGAACGAUGUGUAUUGAAUGGAUAAUCGGAACUUUUACUGCUAUUUAAUGCUUCGAUCUUCACUCAGUGGAUGUUUUGGGUGAUUUUCCGACAUCCCUGACCUUUUUCCGAUGACUUUCCAGAUUCUAGGGUUUCUGGUGGUUGAACCUAGGGUUUUACUCCUAUCCGAUGGCUCGAUCCUCACUCGGUGGAUGUUUUGGGUGAUUUUCCGACGUCCGACCUAGGGUUUUACUGCUAUCCGAUGGCUCGAUCCUCACUCGCUGGAUGUUUUGGGUGAUUUUCCGACGUCCCUGACCCUAUUCCGGUAAGUUUUCAGACCCUACGGUUUUCGGUGGUUGGACCUAGGGUUUUAUCUGGCAAUUGAAGACCGUUCUUCUCCGGUCGCGAAGAAGGUGGGUUACUCUAUCCCUGUUCUAAGUGUUGUAUGUUUUGUAUGUGGGUUCUGAUUCAACUUUAGUCUAUUUACUGAGACUGUUUUUUGAUUUCAAACUGGUUAUUGUUCAUGACUUCUAAUAUGAAUGCUAAUACCUCCUCAGUGGACUCUACUAGCCCCUUUUUUGUUUACUCCUCUGAUGUUCCUGGAGUUUCUCUUGUGUCCACUCCCUUCUCACACAGUGGUUAUGGGGGUUGGAGGAGGAAAAUGAUUGUCGCGUUAUCUGCUAAGA